Molecule: ribosomal RNA, 254 nt
Filed under: uncultured bacterium
Lineage: Bacteria
Description: partial 16S ribosomal RNA
Rfam family: Bacterial small subunit ribosomal RNA
Source: RNAcentral
GACGUAGGGCGCGAGCGUUGUCCGGAUUUAUUGGGCGUAAAGAGCUCGUAGGCGGCUUGGCAAGUCGGGUGUGAAAACUUCAGGCUCAACCUGGAGCGGCCACUCGAUACUGCCAUGGCUUGAGUCCGGUAGGGGACCACGGAAUUCCUGGUGUAGCGGUGAAAUGCGCAGAUAUCAGGAGGAACACCAGUGGCGAAGGCGGUGGUCUGGGCCGGAACUGACGCUGAGGAGCGAAAGCGUGGGUAGCAAACAGG